Molecule: unclassified non-coding RNA, 3335 nt
Filed under: Hevea brasiliensis (rubber tree)
Lineage: Eukaryota; Viridiplantae; Streptophyta; Magnoliopsida; Malpighiales; Euphorbiaceae
Source: RNAcentral
UCCAAACAUUAUUUUUAUUGAUAAACCAGAUAAGAUGGUCAGUCUACAACCUGCAGAUGUACAUCUUGACCAUAUAUCAGUUCUCAUAAAUGAACAAGAUACAGGAUGGUACACAUCCAGAAUACAGACAGGAUCACUGACUAAAUCAACCACAUCCUUCUAGGAACGCCUGCGUCUAGCGUUAAACCUUCACUAACUACUGAAAUGAAAGGAGUUUCUACAUAAAUAUGAACAUCUGAAACCUGUGAUCACCAGCAAACGACGAAUGCCUCCCUACUGACUUUUCUUGGGAAUAAAAAAUCAAGGAAGCUCCUGUGGGUUUGGCUGGAUUAGUUAUGCUACAGUGGUUCAGUAUCACUAUCUGAAUCCAGAAAGCUAUAUUCUUUCAAUCCAUCAAUCUUAAUUAGCACUGUUCCACGGUUCUCUUCACUCCAUCUAAUCCCUUCCCUUUCCAGAAGCUUUAUGAUUGAUUGUUUGAGUUUUGACUUUCCCACACCAUGACUGCCACAUCCUGUGAUUACUCUGAGAGUUUGAAUUGAAUGCACAUAAGUUCCAAAUAGAAGGUGAAGUUUCAACAGCUUCAUUGCUUGUUUGACAUGCUGCCCGUGCAAAUCAAUUGUUACUACAUUUUCUAUGCCCUUGUUCCUAGCUUUAAAAAUAUUCUGGCUUGCUCUUUCAUCAGCCUCUUGAGCCAAUUUAGUUUGUAAUUUCCCCUAUCCAAUUGCAAGAUACCAAGAAAAUGUGUCAUGAAAGUUCACCAGGUAAAUGCAAACAUAAAAAUCACAUGAAUCUCAAAAACCUACAGAAGAAGAAGAGGGGGGAGGGGGUUUGCAUUAUGGUCCAGAACCACCACAAAGGUAAAGUAACUGGGAUUAAGACCAAUGUUGAUAACUACACAAUGCAAUCCAUAAAACAGAAGUUUACUGGGUACAAUGGAAUGCCUUAAAGGAAAUCAUUGAAAGAAGUCAAAAAUUCAUGCCACUAGUACAAUAUAUUCAGAAUCAAAUAUCUAAGUUCACAUAUUCUUAACUUUCCCCAUUGGCCCAUCCUAAGUUUUAGGCUUUCAUCUAACAGCACUUCUUAAAUAAGGGCCUUCAUCUAAUAGAAGUUGUAGAACAUAUUCAUAGCAAGAUUAAGCAUUACAAUAAUAAUGGGAUGAUGGGAAGCUAUGCAGUCCAAUAUCAAUCACAAAGCAGCUAUAUAUAUCACACCACAACUUUGCAAGAAGUAGAAUAGAUCAAGUUGUUUAAAUCAACAAGGGGUGAAGUAGACUAAAUGCAUAAACGCAUUAUGACAUAAAUAAAAAUGAAUUUCGGAAGCAGGCUUACCUGGUCUGAAAGGUAAGCUGCAUAUUCCCGUUCUCCCUUUGCAUAAGCUACUGCAGCCUACAGAAGAAUUUGCAUCUGUUACAACAAAUUUUAGUCUUCUACACUCUAUUUGGCAAACCAGGAGGUAGUGUAAGGUUUUAAAGGUAUAGUAAGGCAAGGUUUUGUAAGUAUGCUAGUUUGGAAGAGUAUAUAAUGGAAUGGUAAAUGAAGGUAAAGUGAUGAAAAUACCAAACUACCCCUACCAUUUUUAAAAGAUUUAGGCAUCAUUGGUAGAUUAUAAGGAAAGAUUAUGAAACCUUCUGAGCGCUGGCAUAUUUCACUAUUUUAUGGCAAACUGAGGGUUAGAUAAAACCAUGAAAAACCUUCCCACCUACCUCCCAAACAAGAAAGGGUGGUUAUGAAACUUAAAAAACCAUCCUUGACUCCCAAAAAACCCCCAACCAAAACUUUGGAUGUAAUAUCUAACACCAUCAAAGUAACAAAACAAUAGAAAAAACUCACUUUUUGAUAGUAACAUCUCAUCGACUCCCAAUGCUGCUUAGCACAUUGUCUAAACAGGUGAUAAUCAGAACCCCUAGCUGCAAUUCCAAUUUCCAUAACAAGUGAGCAGCAGAAAAAUAGAUAUAAUAGAUAUAGUAGCUUCAAUUCUGAAAUGCUUGUCCAUGCAUCGCAGGACAAGCAGUUCAGAAUCUAUGACCAAUAGUUUUCAAAGUCUAGCGCUGAAUUUCAGUAUGGUAACAGGAUCAUAUUGAAAGACCAGAUUCCAGAAGAGUAAUGAAAUAAAGAACUAAUGUUGAAUACCAUAAGUGUCCUGCUGAGGAACUGUAUCACUAGAUGGACAGACAUCAAUGCCAAGACCCAACAACUGCAUUUUUUUUACCACAUUCCUCCAAUUCAUGGUGCCUGGUUCAUGUUCAGAGCUUCUGGAGGUGUGAAACAAAGAUUCCAACACCUUUUGAGGGAGAUCUGACUGAUUACUUCUUGGGCUGGUUGAUGGAGCUUCAAAACCAGUAAGGACCUCAGAAUAAUUCCUGCAAUCAUAGCCCCAUAUGCUUUCAUGAACUUCACUUUCAGUUGAAUGAGAAGUGCAAUCAGAUGCCCUAUCUGUUGCAUUAUCAUCACGCUCAACAACAGAAGUAUUCCUUGACUGCUCAAUGGAGGAAGCAGAUAAAUCAAGCAAUGCAUCCAAAGCAAUUUCCUCAGUACCUUUUCAACAUCAUAUCCACACUGACAUAGGACAUCUCUAACAAUAGCCAUGCUUAGCUCGCAAUCGUCACUGAGCAUAGAACACAAGAACUGCUCAGCCUCUUCCUUCACCACAACACCAUUAACAAACUCCUUUGUUUUCGCGGAAUCCCUCCUAGGGCUUGCCUUGACAUACUCCUUUCCCAGAACCGUUGAAACCGUCCCCGUAGCGGCCACGACUUUCUUCUGCUUAUUACUUCCUCGAAAGCCUUUCCUGUUCACCAUAUUCAUAUUCGCCUCCAUGUAACCCUCCGAGGAGCCCGAACUGGAACCCGCAAUACUCGAGUUGAAACCCGAACCAAAGUCCAAACUCGAAACAGAACUCGUAGACGGAUCCUCUAUAUUGUCUGUCAAGUUGGCUAAGAUGCCAGCCGCUUUGUUUACAUCACCAUUAGCUUCUCUGCAAGCCGAGGAGGCUUCUUCAAAAGAGACGGAAUCAAACGCCUCCAUUAACGACAAAACCGUAUUGGUUUGUUGCUGCUGCUGUUGUUGAUUUUGUUCUCCAUCAUGAGGUGCUUGGUUUCCAGAGGGAUUGGAGGCGCGCGAGGGACGGUGCUUCUUCUUUUUCCUCUUGGUUUGCUGCUUCAUGGUUUUGUAUAGAUUCGAGGGGAUUAUCGCACGAAUCAAGGAGGAUUGAAAUUGAUAGACCAAUAGACUCUGGGGAACCCUAAAUUAUUGGGGGAAGGGAGAAAGAGAAUGAAAAGGGGAAGUUAGAAUCGACACUAAAAAUCAACACACUGAAAAUAAGAGGCCAAUGUAUGG